Vulpes vulpes (red fox) is the source of this 1119-nucleotide long non-coding RNA. NCBI's taxonomy places the organism in Eukaryota, Metazoa, Chordata, Mammalia, Carnivora, Canidae. The record is from Ensembl.
CGGGCAUGUGCCUGCCCACAAAAGCAGCACUCACGCGUGAUGAGCACAGUCCUGGGACUGGUUUUGUGGAGCUGGAAAUGUAUCUCAUCUCCUAAAGUUGAGAACACAAUGUGACUAGGAAUGACUAUGCUCCUCCAAUAACAGAGGAGAGAGGUAGGGGGAGGAAAAGAGGAACAGAGGGGAGAAGAGGGGAGGGAGAGAGGAGAAACAGAGAAAGAAAAGAGACCAAAGAAGAAAAAGAAUCGGGAUCAAGUGCAUGAGUGGCUGGGAGCAAGUGUGAGAAGAACUGAUGACCGUGGAACCAAGGGAGUUGUUGAGUUGACUCCGAAGCAGAAGCGUCUAGAUCACCCAAUCCUGAGCUGUCUAUCUGGAAGAGCCCAUUUCUGCAAUCUGAGUGGCAAAGAAAAAGUGGAGGUCAGUGAAGCAGGCAAUAUAGGGCAUGCUUUUCCCUGCCUCCCCCGCCUGACCCACUUCUCCACAAUCCACCUGCUUCAGCCACCUCGGGCCCAGUCCUAGCUGCCAGAUGCUAACUGAGGCUGUUCCUCAAAUUGCCAGGAGAUUGCUAUCCAAACUGUCACCCCCUGAUCAGAAAAGAAGGAGUUAUGGAAAGUAACUGACAGCACCUGAGCGAUCUCUCAUUUGGAUUAAAUCAAGAUCUUUAAAUAUUUAUAAAGUUCUGGUAUCUAAAAUAGCCAGCCUUUGCCUUGCACACAGGCUGUUGAAAUAUGGGCCUAGUGCAUUCUAAACUGAAUACUUGUCUGAGCAGUCAUAUAUUUUGUUUGUGUGUGAGAGUGUAACAGUGUGUGUGAUUGUGUGUGGGUGUGUGUGUGUAUGUUGAAAAACCUAUUGCAUUAUGUUAAAUAUCCCAAGGGCUCUGUAUAGAACAUGACUGGAAUGAAUAUAGGACAAGAAUAACUUUUUUCUAUCUCAUUAGAUGGUCUGAGUUUUGAAAUCUGCUCUAAAAGUGUGGUAAAGUGUUCAGUGUUGUAGAUUAAUGCACUGAAUACAUUUCUACAGUUCUUGAUGUGUUUCAUAAAAGGUCCAUUUCAAAAGUGUGCUGUAUUAUAGGUGAACACUCGCAGUAAAUAAUCUUGUUACAGAAACCUAAGCAAUUUUUAC